GAUGAAGAACGCAGCGAAAUGCGAUACUUGGUGUGAAAUGCAGAAUCCCGUGAACCAUCGAGUCUUUGAACGCAAGUUGCGCCCGAAGCCAUUAGGCCGAGGGCACGCCUGCCUGGGCGUCACACGUCGUUGCCCCCCUAUCUACUCCUUCGGGAUUGCGGGGGGCGGAUGAUGGCCUCCCGUGCGCCUCGCCGCGCGGUUGGCAUAAAUGCCAAGUCCUCGGCGACGCACGCCACGACAAUCGGUGGUUGCGAAACCUCGGUUGCCCGUCGUGUGCGGUCGUCGCGCAUCGAGGGCUCGAAAAAAUUGCCGGGUUCCGGCUCGGCUUUCAACGCGACCCCAGGUCAGGCGGGGUUACCCGCUGAAUUUAAGCAUAUAAUAAGCGGAGGA
Molecule: unclassified non-coding RNA, 390 nt
Filed under: soil metagenome
Description: partial contains 5.8S ribosomal RNA, internal transcribed spacer 2, and large subunit ribosomal RNA
Rfam family: 5.8S ribosomal RNA (bases 1-122)
Source: RNAcentral